GCGAGUAAAGAUACAUUUAACCACUUGGGGUCGGGACUAAAUUCAUCAUGAACCUGAUAUGUUGGUAUGAAUUCACACACACACGUCAAUUUGCAUUUAACAAGUAAAGAUUGAUGUCAUGUUUGCACUGAUAAAUUUUUAUAAAGUUAAAUACUUAGUCCAAUCCUGAGCUACAACAGGAUAUUAAGUCAAGUUUGUUCAAAAUUAAGUCACUAUCUUGUUUGAGGACAAAUAAUAGUUCAAGUUUGUGGAGUUUGAUAAGUGUGUUUUUGCACACUUAUUUAGGUCUCAAACAUGACUGAAUAACGAGCAAAAUGAUUGCAUUGUGACUUAAUCUCGCUACAUUUGUGAAUUGUAGGGAACAACGAUGAACGUGGUGAAAUUCAAGAGAAAAGACUCGAAAAAGGACUAAAAUUAGCAAAAUGAAAGUUCAGGGACCAAGGUGCAAUUAUCCAAAAGUUGACCUGAUGAACAAAUCGAGAAACUGAUUAAGCCAAUUGCCAAUUGAUGAUAUCUUGGGAUGAUGGAAUGGAAAAAAAUGAAGAAAAGAUGCUAAGAUGUGAAUGAUUCAAGUAGAAUGACUAAAAUGAACAUCUUCCAUAGUCGCAUAGUGCUACCUCUAUGCGGUCGAAUAGAGGCAAACCGAAAGUAAAAUAUCACAAAAAAAUUACUCUAUGCGACCGCAUAGAGAUGCUCUAUGCGGUCGCAUAGAGCAUUUCUGGGCCAAAACAAGUUUCAUUUUUCCGUCGAAACUCUUAUGGAAACAAUAUUUUUAGGGUUCUAUAUAAACAAAAACUCGACCAGAACGAGAGGGACGCUAUUUUUACAAGUUUUUGAGAGAUUUUGAAGGAGAAACGAAGAGAGAACAAGUGAAGAUUCGAUUGAAACUUGAUUCGGGUGAUGACGUUUCUUCAACUAUUUUUAUAUUUUCUUCUUUUUAGCAUGUUAGGCUAGAUUUUUCAUUGCUAGGAGAUCGAUGAACCUUGUAAUACUAUGUUUGAUUUUUGAUUUGGAUAUUUGAUAUAUUUAAACGCAUGUUCCGAAAUUGAAUGAUUUAUUACGUUUUUAUUUUCAUAUGAUUAUUGUGCACAUAAUUAUAUGAUUGUAGUGGCCCGUUUUAUGCAUUCGAAAGAAAAAAAUAGUUUCGAUAUAGUAUAAGUCAUCAUAGGAUCCGAUAGGGGAUAUAAAUAUACAUCUAUGCCUUGUGUGAAUUAUUGGAUAUUUAUGAAUUUAUAAUGCAUUUCGGUAUGUUAGUAUUCGUUAUAAAAAUAUAGUCGAAUCAUAUAUUGUGAUAGGUUUGGCAUUGCUCGAGAGAGAUUGCUAAAUUAAAAUAGGAAUAUUAUUCAUCUUUUAUGGAACU
RNAcentral lists this long non-coding RNA (1360 nucleotides) under Olea europaea subsp. europaea. Lineage: Eukaryota; Viridiplantae; Streptophyta; Magnoliopsida; Lamiales; Oleaceae. The record is from RNAcentral.